This 497-nucleotide ribosomal RNA is filed under the name uncultured bacterium. RNAcentral describes it as "partial 16S ribosomal RNA". It matches the Rfam family "Bacterial small subunit ribosomal RNA", at positions 28 to 507 of the family's 1533-position model. The record is from RNAcentral.
GAUGAACGCUGGCGGCGUGCCUAGUACAUGCAAGUCGAGCGAACAGACGAGGAGCUUGCUCCUCUGACGUUAGCGGCGGACGGGUGAGUAACACGUGGAUAACCUACCUAUAAGACUGGGAUAACUUCGGGAAACCGGAGCUAAUACCGGAUAAUAUAUUGAACCGCAUGGUUCAAUAGUGAAAGACGGUUUUGCUGUCACUUAUAGAUGGAUCCGCGCCGCAUUAGCUAGUUGGUAAGGUAACGGCUUACCAAGGCAACGAUGCGUAGCCGACCUGAGAGGGUGAUCGGCCACACUGGAACUGAGACACGGUCCAGACUCCUACGGGAGGCAGCAGUAGGGAAUCUUCCGCAAUGGGCGAAAGCCUGACGGAGCAACGCCGCGUGAGUGACGAAGGUCUUCGGAUCGUAAAACUCUGUUAUUAGGGAAGAACAAAUGUGUAAGUAACUAUGCACGUCUUGACGGUACCUAAUCAGAAAGCCACGGCUAACUACGUG